RNAcentral lists this ribosomal RNA (252 nucleotides) under uncultured bacterium. Its description in RNAcentral is "partial 16S ribosomal RNA". It matches the Rfam family "Bacterial small subunit ribosomal RNA", at positions 524 to 776 of the family's 1533-position model. The record is from RNAcentral.
UACGGAGGAUGCGAGCGUUAUCCGGAUUUAUUGGGUUUAAAGGGUGCGUAGGCGGGCUUUUAAGUCAGCGGUAAAAAUUCGGGGCUCAACCCCGUCCGGCCGUUGAAACUGGGGGUCUUGAGUGAGCGAGAAGAAGGCGGAAUGCGUGGUGUAGCGGUGAAAUGCAUAGAUAUCACGCAGAACCCCGAUUGCGAAGGCAGCCUUCCGGCGCCCUACUGACGCUGAGGCACGAAAGUGCGGGGAUCGAACAGG